GAGCGCAAAGAUCGUCUAUGUUAGAGAAGAGUUAUUUCCUGUUUGCUAAGUACACGAAAGGGAUCCCAUCGGUGGUGUCAAGUGGGAGCUCCUAACCUAAAGCGUCCAUUUGGAGGCUGAUAAUGGAGGAUAGACAGAAAGAGUCAAAUACAGAACUCACCAGGAGGCAAAGUGAAUAAACGCAGGUAAAGACACAGCAAGUUUGUGUUCUUAAAUGUCUGUCCGAAGCAAUUAGGUAGCGUGACAGCGUUAGCGUUUUUUUCUAAAGGGAGCUGUCGGUAGGCUAAUUGCUGGCUGUGCUAGCUAGCUGGUGUUGCUAUAAGCCAAUUAAGUGCUGUGGUGUAACAAGAUAAUGGGUCGUCAUUUAAAAUGUUUUUUUUUUUUUUAAAUACUAGACUGCAUAAAUGCCUACUUGUUUUGUAAGUAGAAAGUGUUUUAAUCGCAAAGUUGGUGUUUACAUAUCAACAGAUAUUUGCUCGUAUCGCACGAUACUUUCCUGGAUAAAGAGGAUAGAAAAUAGAAGGGUAUUAAAAUGGAAGAUUUAUUUAUUCUUUUGUAUUUCCAGGGAGCCAAAGUUAUCCCAGACGCUGAUCUUGACUCUCUCUUGUCCUCACAGGGCAACACCAGCACCAUAAUUGUGUGGUUGUGGCUGAAUAAGCUGGUCCUCCUGCAGGACAGGACAGCAGGCACAUGAGGCUUUGGGGGCCUGCGUCAACAAUAUAUGGAGCCAGCAGACAUCAGUCCGUUGAGGUGUCCCUCUCCAGCGCCACUGGAUGGUGUCGGUCAUCCUGAGGUGGAAUCCAAGGAGGAGGAGCUGAGGGGUUUUGUGCAGCUCUCAGUCGGGGUGUCUUGCAGGCCCCCGGGCUCGGCUGACUCCCCCGAAUCAACAACUUGCCUCAGACAACCUCUCCCCAUAAAGCCAGCCACUCAUCAAUCUGGCUGUGGCCUUAAUCUCCCAGUGAAGAAAUCCCAACCCACAUUCUCCAUGAACUUGGCUUCAGGAUGGAAUGAGACGGACAUGGAGCAUCGGGCUCUUAAAGCUGAAUCGGCUGUGCGCCUCAUAGAUGACUACCGCAGUGCUGAUACCUGCGUAGCCUCUGCAGCUAACGCGCGUCUUCAGAGGGAAGAGAUGGGCUUUGCUGACUUCACUGUGUUUACAGAGCAGACGGUGCAUCACUGGUGCUGUGGUUUCACACCUUCAGGGAAUCCAGAGACGUCUAACAGCAGACUUGGGCAGAGGAACCCUUCAAACAGCCCAUUAGAACGCCCCCGUAGUCCCGGGCAGGUGGCUUUAGGGGACUCUGACCCUCAUUGUUCAUCUAAAGCAAAAGAUUGCACCAUGAUCGGACACUGGCAGGAAGGAGACGCUGCAGUUGCGCAACCCCACCAGGACCAGCAACAGCCUCAGGAAACUGCAGCAACUUUGGUUUUUCCUCCUGCGAAGGUUUACGCCGAGAAAGGAGCGUCGGAGGAGAGCGAUCCGACCCCAGAGGUUCGAGAAGAGGGAGGCGAGGAGAGCGACGAACAAGACGAGCCAGGACGCCGCCGCUCCGGCAACAUCGGCGCGGCGACGUGGCCGCAGGCGAAGGCCGAGGAGGAUCCUCGCCGCUCCGACUCAUCCGCAACUCAGGAAAACUCUGCUACCUCCGGUCCGCUGCGGUCAGGAGCGCGCCACGAUAUCUCGGACCCGGUGCACGCCCAACGAGCCGACGCUGCCGUGCUGAUUCUGGGAACGCUCCCACCGAGCGACAGCUUCGCCGACUUCUGCGCAGCGCCCGCGCAGGACGACGGAGAGGAUUUAUGGGCGGAGUUCACGGACAGGAAGGAAGAGGAAGGCGAGCCGGCUUGGACCAGAGAGCGAGCCGGCUCCGUCCCCACUGAAGACGAGGACGAGGCUCCCGGCUGUAAGGCGUCACUUUCCGGCCGUGUGCACCAGCUUUUCCUGGCUAAUUUCCUGGAGGCAGGGGGCCCGUGUGCUGCCCCAGAGCUGGAGGUGCUCAGCCUCGCCGCUCUGCUUGAUGUCCAACAGCCCCCUCAGCGUGAGGACGGCGAGGAGCAACAGGGCCAGGGGAUCCAGAAGGGGCUGCGGUGGCUGCGCGCGGACCUUCACAGUGCAGUCGGCCUCCGGUUCCAGUGGAGAGGCUCCCACUCCAGCAGGACUCUGCUCAGGUGCCUCGGCGUGGACGCAGAGAACGUCCGUUCGCUAGAGACCACCAAAGACUCCGAGUCAGCCGCCCGUUCUCCGAGACACACGGCGGCACCGGCACCUCCGACCCCCCAGGACGCACCAGCACCUUCCACCGCUCCAGUACAGGGUACGAUUCCCUCCAGCCAGACGGACUGGAACAACCGCGGCCUUAGAAGCUCUCAGGACGGCACCUGCCUUCGCAGAGCCCCUCACUUCUGGGGUCGUAAAUAG
Molecule: long non-coding RNA, 2419 nt
Organism: Takifugu rubripes (torafugu)
Lineage: Eukaryota; Metazoa; Chordata; Actinopteri; Tetraodontiformes; Tetraodontidae
Source: Ensembl